AGGAAGUCACCUCCCUGACACCCAGUGCCGUGAAGAUCAAGAUCAUCACAUCCCCAAGAGCGCAAGUGCUCUGUGUGGAUUGGAGGCUCCAUCCUGGCCUCACUGUCCACCUUCCAGCAGAUGUGGAUUAGCAAGCAGGAGUACAACAAGUCAGGCUCCUCCAUCAUCCACCGCAAAUGCUUCUAAAUGGACGGUGAGCAGAUGCGUAGCAUUUGCUGCGUGGGUUAAUUCAGAAGUAUAAAUUUGCCCCUGGCAAAUGCAUAUACUUCAUGCUAGCCUUACAAAAUAGGAAUAAGCCUUUGAAAAUAAAUUGUCCUUGAAGCUUGUAUCUGAUAUCAGCACUGGAUUAUAGAAUGUGUUGCUGAUUUCGACCUUGUAUUCAAGUUAACUGUUCCUUUUGGUAUUUGUACAUAUCUUUGAUUUCAGCUCUUAGUAUGUGUGGGUUGGUCACUUUGUGGCUGAGGUAAGAAUGUGCAUAUAGAAGACAAGUCUGUGGCUUGGUGGGUCUGUGUGGCCAGCAGCCUCCAAUCUGGGCAGGGUAUUAGUGUGUCAGGGCUGAGUGCUCUGGGAUUCUCUAGAGGCUGGCAAGGGCUCCUGAACCAGUGGUUUCUGUCCUGCCAGUCUGUCAGGGAAAAUCCAAGCCAUAGGACCCAGUUUCUUUUCUUAGCUGAUGUUUUCCUGCCAGAACACCAUGGGCUGUUACUUGCCUUGAGUUGGAAGCAGUUUGCAUUUACACCUGUAAGUGUAUUGAUCCUUUUAAUUUAUGUAAGGUUUUUUUUUUAUUGUACUACAGCU
Molecule: long non-coding RNA, 795 nt
Organism: Cebus imitator (Panamanian white-faced capuchin)
Lineage: Eukaryota; Metazoa; Chordata; Mammalia; Primates; Cebidae
Exons: 3
Source: RefSeq, a predicted model, not a curated record